Molecule: ribosomal RNA, 254 nt
Filed under: Bacillus safensis
Lineage: Bacteria; Bacillati; Bacillota; Bacilli; Caryophanales; Bacillaceae
Description: partial 23S ribosomal RNA
Rfam family: Bacterial large subunit ribosomal RNA
Source: RNAcentral
UGUCCUUAGUACGAGAGGACCGGGAUGGACGCACCGCUGGUGUACCAGUUGUUCUGCCAAGGGCAUCGCUGGGUAGCUAUGUGCGGACGGGAUAAGUGCUGAAAGCAUCUAAGCAUGAAGCCCCCCUCAAGAUGAGAUUUCCCAUUCCGCAAGGAAGUAAGAUCCCUGAAAGAUGAUCAGGUUGAUAGGUCUGAGGUGGAAGCGUGGUGACACGUGGAGCUGACAGAUACUAAUAGAUCGAGGACUUAACCUAU